RNAcentral lists this ribosomal RNA (375 nucleotides) under Salmonella enterica. RNAcentral's name for it is "bacterial SSU rRNA". It matches the Rfam family "Bacterial small subunit ribosomal RNA", at positions 1 to 372 of the family's 1533-position model. The record is from RNAcentral. Lineage: Bacteria; Pseudomonadati; Pseudomonadota; Gammaproteobacteria; Enterobacterales; Enterobacteriaceae.
AAAUUGAAGAGUUUGAUCAUGGCUCAGAUUGAACGCUGGCGGCAGGCCUAACACAUGCAAGUCGAACGGUAACAGGAAGCAGCUUGCUGCUUCGCUGACGAGUGGCGGACGGGUGAGUAAUGUCUGGGAAACUGCCUGAUGGAGGGGGAUAACUACUGGAAACGGUGGCUAAUACCGCAUAACGUCGCAAGACCAAAGAGGGGGACCUUCGGGCCUCUUGCCAUCAGAUGUGCCCAGAUGGGAUUAGCUUGUUGGUGAGGUAACGGCUCACCAAGGCGACGAUCCCUAGCUGGUCUGAGAGGAUGACCAGCCACACUGGAACUGAGACACGGUCCAGACUCCUACGGGAGGCAGCAGUGGGGAAUAUUGCACAAU